UUAAGCGACUAAGCGUACACGGUGGAUGCCCUGGCAGUCAGAGGCGAUGAAGGACGUGCUAAUCUGCGAUAAGCGUCGGUAAGGUGAUAUGAACCGUUAUAACCGGCGAUUUUCGAAUGGGGAAACCCAGUGUGAUUCGUCACACUAUCAUUAACUGAAUCCAUAGGUUAAUGAGGCGAACCGGGGGAACUGAAACAUCUAAGUACCCCGAGGAAAAGAAAUCAACCGAGAUUCCCCCAGUAGCGGCGAGCGAACGGGGAGCAGCCCAGAGCCUGAAUCAGUGUGUGUGUUAGUGGAAGCGUCUGGAAAGGCGCGCGAUACAGGGUGACAGCCCCGUACACAAAAAUGCACAUACUGUGAGCUCGAUGAGUAGGGCGGGACACGUGGUAUCCUGUCUGAAUAUGGGGGGACCAUCCUCCAAGGCUAAAUACUCCUGACUGACCGAUAGUGAACCAGUACCGUGAGGGAAAGGCGAAAAGAACCCCGGCGAGGGGAGUGAAAAAGAACCUGAAACCGUGUACGUACAAGCAGUGGGAGCACAGAGCAAUCUGUGUGACUGCGUACCUUUUGUAUAAUGGGUCAGCGACUUAUAUUCUGUAGCAAGGUUAACCGAAUAGGGGAGCCGAAGGGAAACCGAGUCUUAACUGGGCGUUAAGUUGCAGGGUAUAGACCCGAAACCCGGUGAUCUAGCCAUGGGCAGGUUGAAGGUUGGGUAACACUAACUGGAGGACCGAACCGACUAAUGUUGAAAAAUUAGCGGAUGACUUGUGGCUGGGGGUGAAAGGCCAAUCAAACCGGGAGAUAGCUGGUUCUCCCCGAAAGCUAUUUAGGUAGCGCCUCGUGAAUUCAUCUCCGGGGGUAGAGCACUGUUUCGGCAAGGGGGUCAUCCCGACUUACCAACCCGAUGCAAACUGCGAAUACCGGAGAAUGUUAUCACGGGAGACACACGGCGGGUGCUAACGUCCGUCGUGAAGAGGGAAACAACCCAGACCGCCAGCUAAGGUCCCAAAGUCAUGGUUAAGUGGGAAACGAUGUGGGAAGGCCCAGACAGCCAGGAUGUUGGCUUAGAAGCAGCCAUCAUUUAAAGAAAGCGUAAUAGCUCACUGGUCGAGUCGGCCUGCGCGGAAGAUGUAACGGGGCUAAACCAUGCACCGAAGCUGCGGCAGCGACGCUUAUGCGUUGUUGGGUAGGGGAGCGUUCUGUAAGCCUGUGAAGGUGUACUGUGAGGUAUGCUGGAGGUAUCAGAAGUGCGAAUGCUGACAUAAGUAACGAUAAAGCGGGUGAAAAGCCCGCUCGCCGGAAGACCAAGGGUUCCUGUCCAACGUUAAUCGGGGCAGGGUGAGUCGACCCCUAAGGCGAGGCCGAAAGGCGUAGUCGAUGGGAAACAGGUUAAUAUUCCUGUACUUGGUGUUACUGCGAAGGGGGGACGGAGAAGGCUAUGUUGGCCGGGCGACGGUUGUCCCGGUUUAAGCGUGUAGGCUGGUUUUCCAGGCAAAUCCGGAAAAUCAAGGCUGAGGCGUGAUGACGAGGCACUACGGUGCUGAAGCAACAAAUGCCCUGCUUCCAGGAAAAGCCUCUAAGCAUCAGGUAACAUCAAAUCGUACCCCAAACCGACACAGGUGGUCAGGUAGAGAAUACCAAGGCGCUUGAGAGAACUCGGGUGAAGGAACUAGGCAAAAUGGUGCCGUAACUUCGGGAGAAGGCACGCUGAUAUGUAGGUGAAGUCCCUCGCGGAUGGAGCUGAAAUCAGUCGAAGAUACCAGCUGGCUGCAACUGUUUAUUAAAAACACAGCACUGUGCAAACACGAAAGUGGACGUAUACGGUGUGACGCCUGCCCGGUGCCGGAAGGUUAAUUGAUGGGGUUAGCGCAAGCGAAGCUCUUGAUCGAAGCCCCGGUAAACGGCGGCCGUAACUAUAACGGUCCUAAGGUAGCGAAAUUCCUUGUCGGGUAAGUUCCGACCUGCACGAAUGGCGUAAUGAUGGCCAGGCUGUCUCCACCCGAGACUCAGUGAAAUUGAACUCGCUGUGAAGAUGCAGUGUACCCGCGGCAAGACGGAAAGACCCCGUGAACCUUUACUAUAGCUUGACACUGAACAUUGAGCCUUGAUGUGUAGGAUAGGUGGGAGGCUUUGAAGUGUGGACGCCAGUCUGCAUGGAGCCGACCUUGAAAUACCACCCUUUAAUGUUUGAUGUUCUAACGUUGACCCGUGAUCCGGGUUGCGGACAGUGUCUGGUGGGUAGUUUGACUGGGGCGGUCUCCUCCUAAAGAGUAACGGAGGAGCACGAAGGUUGGCUAAUCCUGGUCGGACAUCAGGAGGUUAGUGCAAUGGCAUAAGCCAGCUUGACUGCGAGCGUGACGGCGCGAGCAGGUGCGAAAGCAGGUCAUAGUGAUCCGGUGGUUCUGAAUGGAAGGGCCAUCGCUCAACGGAUAAAAGGUACUCCGGGGAUAACAGGCUGAUACCGCCCAAGAGUUCAUAUCGACGGCGGUGUUUGGCACCUCGAUGUCGGCUCAUCACAUCCUGGGGCUGAAGUAGGUCCCAAGGGUAUGGCUGUUCGCCAUUUAAAGUGGUACGCGAGCUGGGUUUAGAACGUCGUGAGACAGUUCGGUCCCUAUCUGCCGUGGGCGCUGGAGAACUGAGGGGGGCUGCUCCUAGUACGAGAGGACCGGAGUGGACGCAUCACUGGUGUUCGGGUUGUCAUGCCAAUGGCACUGCCCGGUAGCUAAAUGCGGAAGAGAUAAGUGCUGAAAGCAUCUAAGCACGAAACUUGCCCCGAGAUGAGUUCUCCCUGACUCCUUGAGAGUCCUGAAGGAACGUUGAAGACGACGACGUUGAUAGGCCGGAUGUGUAAGCGCAGCGAUGCGUUGAGCUAACCGGUACUAAUGAACCGUGAGGCUUAACCUU
RNAcentral lists this ribosomal RNA (2904 nucleotides) under Escherichia coli. RNAcentral's name for it is "bacterial LSU rRNA". It matches the Rfam family "Bacterial large subunit ribosomal RNA". The record is from RNAcentral. Lineage: Bacteria; Pseudomonadati; Pseudomonadota; Gammaproteobacteria; Enterobacterales; Enterobacteriaceae.